AUGUGGCCAUUUAAAACAUGAACU
Molecule: non-coding RNA, 24 nt
Filed under: Arabidopsis thaliana (thale cress)
Lineage: Eukaryota; Viridiplantae; Streptophyta; Magnoliopsida; Brassicales; Brassicaceae
Source: RNAcentral